RNAcentral lists this ribosomal RNA (451 nucleotides) under uncultured bacterium. Its description in RNAcentral is "partial 16S ribosomal RNA". It matches the Rfam family "Bacterial small subunit ribosomal RNA", at positions 28 to 507 of the family's 1533-position model. The record is from RNAcentral.
GAUGAACGCUGGCGGCGUGCCUAACACAUGCAAGUCGAGCGGCAGCGAGGGGUGCUUGCACCCUGUCGGCGAGCGGCGGACGGCUGAGUAACGCGUGGGAACGUGCCCCAAAGUGAGGAAUAACUGUCCGAAAGGGUAGCUAAUACCGCAUAUUAUCUUCGGAUCAAAGGAUUUAUCCGCUUUGGGAGCGGCUCGCGUCGGAUUAGGUAGUUGGUGAGGUAAUGGCUCACCAAGCCGACGAUCCGUAGCUGGUCUGAGAGGAUGACCAGCCAGACUGGAACUGAGACACGGUCCAGACUCCUACGGGAGGCAGCAGUGAGGAAUCUUCCACAAUGGGCGAAAGCCUGAUGGAGCAACGCCGCGUGCAGGACGAAGGCCUUCGGGUUGUAAACUGCUUUUAUAAGUGAGGAAUAUGACGGUAACUUAUGAAUAAGGAUCGGCUAACUACGUG